Etheostoma cragini (Arkansas darter) is the source of this 1715-nucleotide long non-coding RNA. RefSeq lists it as uncharacterized. Lineage: Eukaryota; Metazoa; Chordata; Actinopteri; Perciformes; Percidae. The record is from RefSeq and is a predicted model, not a curated record. The transcript has 2 exons.
GUGUGUGUGUGUGUGUGUGUGUGUGUGUGUGUGUGCGUGCGUCACAGGUCCCAUUUCAUUCGGUAGGUCGGGAAGUUGCAUGCAAUGUGCAAUAUUCACUAAGUGGCAUACAUUAUGAAUGCCUGAGUCCAUUCUUCGGAUAACAAGAUUUCCAUUAAAUGAUGAUUAUUUUGGAUAAUUUGAUAGUCACACUGGUUGUUUGACCUGAGAGCAGCAAAUGAAACAAAUGUGCUUCAAAUUUAGGCUGCAAAGAAUGUUCAUAUCAACAACACUGGAAAGGAGACAUCAGUCAUAUGCUUCAGAGGACUUACAUUACAACAUCACCUUAGUUUGACAAAAACCCAAACUCCCAGCCAGCUAGUGGAUACACAGAACUCCAGCUCCCAGGUUCCCAACCAACCAUCUGAAUUUCAAAUGAAAAACAGCAAAAAUGAUCCUCCUGCUGUACAAUGACAUUACACCACCCACCCACCCACCCCCCACCUCCUGUGUGUAUUAUUUUUAAAACUUAAACCAAGAGCCACUUUCUUGUCUCAAUUUUGAAUUAAUUUAAACAAGAAUAUUUGUAGUUUUUUUUUGCGUGUAUUGCAUCUUUUUCCUAUGUAUCAGAAAUAGAUGUCAUUAUCAUAUUUUGUAUUGAUUUACACUGGAAGUGUGCUUUGAAUUAAUUAAUGUACAGUUUUGGGGGAUGCAGAACAUUUUUAUUUGUUCUUUCAUUCAUAUCUGUUAUUUUCCUCUUAAAUAUUCAUUCAGGAUAUGAAAAUGUAUAGUUUACAUAUUCUUUGAAUGGUGACUAGAGUCUAGAACAAUGUGAGUUGGUAUUUUUUUUUUUUUUUUUUUGUCAUGUAGGAAAUUAACAAAACCGGAGAUUUGCUCCCUUGAUCCCCAUAUAAAAGAAUAUUUUUCUCAUUAACUUUGUUGUUUUCAUUUUGAACAACCAAUUUGUUGAAAAAGCAUAGAGUAGGCCUGAGUUUGGUGCUGUUUACUUAAUGUGCAUUUAUUGUGCAGUAAAGACACACACAAUUGUAAUAAUGCCUGUAAAUGUUGGCUGGAGAUAUCUGUACAGUCACACUUUUAAAAUCAGGCACACUACUUUGGCAAGAAUGGUACCAAUGCAAUGUGCAUGUGAUCCUGUGGUGUCGUCAUCACAGCAAUUGUGGAACACAAGCGUCUGUUCACUUACAAUAAGGUCUGGCUCGAAUCCACCGCUUAAUUUCUCUCAGAGCAAUGUGUUUCUCUCGCAAAUAUCUCCCAUUGGGCUCAAUAGGACCUCAUUAUCUGAUACAUACUUGACAAAGAAAGGCAGUCAGGUCUAAUGUGAUUAUCUGGUCUAUUUCUGAAGGGUUAUUCUUAAUGAAGGAUAUGUUCCAACAGUCAUCUCUUUUUUUUGUUGCUUUUUGUGGCCAUCUACUGAGCUGUUCAAAUGUGUUCCUCCUCUGGCAUUCCUGCAACACUUAUUUAAUUUUCUGUAAUCUCUUAAUCUGGUCAGCUAAUCCAUAGCCGGCACACUCAACUUCUUUACCCUACUUUGUCGCUCCUCGUAUUUGUGUCAAACGCCUGAAUCACUGUCUAUAAAAUAAAUAAAGCAAGGGUCAAUUUUUUUUAUUCCCCCCUCCAAUACAUUCAAUCCUAUUUUACCCCAAUCAUUCUUUAAAUUGACCAAACCUUUUUAAAUCACAACACGGCAAAUAAAAUGUCUUUGCUUCAUCACCUAA